This 502-nucleotide ribosomal RNA is filed under the name uncultured Acaulospora. Its description in RNAcentral is "SSU rRNA". It matches the Rfam family "Eukaryotic small subunit ribosomal RNA", at positions 591 to 1092 of the family's 1831-position model. The record is from RNAcentral. Lineage: Eukaryota; Fungi; Glomeromycota; Glomeromycetes; Diversisporales; Acaulosporaceae.
CCAAUAGCGUAUAUUAAAGUUGUUGCAGUUAAAAAGCUCGUAGUUGAAUUUCGGAAUCUGUCCGUCGGUCGGGCUUCACUGUCCGUACUGGUGUGAUGGGUUUCUACCUUCUGAAUAACCGGCAUGUCAUUAAUUUGGUGCGCCGGGGAAGCAGAACUAUUACCUUGAAAAAAUUAGAGUGCUUAAAGCAGGCUAUCGCCUGAAUAGAUUAGCAUGGAAUAAUAAAAUAGGACGGCAUGGUUCUAUUUUGUUGGUUUCUAGGAUCACCGUAAUGAUUAAUAGGGAUAGUUGGGGGCAUUAGUAUUCAAUUGGCAGAGGUGAAAUUCUUGGAUUUAUUGAAGACUAACUUCUGCGAAAGCAUUUGCCAAGGAUGUUUUCAUUAAUCAAGAACGAAAGUUAGGGGAUCGAAGACGAUCAGAUACCGUCGUAGUCUUAACCAUAAACUAUGCCGACUAGGGAUCGGACGAUGUUAAUUUUUUAAUGACUCGUUCGGCGCCUUACG